UACGUAGGGUGCGAGCGUUGUCCGGAAUUAUUGGGCGUAAAGAGCUCGUAGGCGGCUUGUCGCGUCGGAUGUGAAAGCCCGGGGCUUAACUCCGGGUCUGCAUUCGAUACGGGCAGGCUAGAGUUCGGUAGGGGAGAUCGGAAUUCCUGGUGUGAGCGGUGGAAAUGACGCAGAUAUCAGGAGGAACACCGGUGGCGAAGGCGGAUCUCUGGGCCGAUACUGACGCUGAGGAGCGAAAGCGUGGGGAGCGAACAGG
RNAcentral lists this ribosomal RNA (256 nucleotides) under uncultured bacterium. Its description in RNAcentral is "partial 16S ribosomal RNA". It matches the Rfam family "Bacterial small subunit ribosomal RNA", at positions 524 to 776 of the family's 1533-position model. The record is from RNAcentral.